RNAcentral lists this ribosomal RNA (382 nucleotides) under uncultured bacterium. RNAcentral's name for it is "bacterial SSU rRNA". It matches the Rfam family "Bacterial small subunit ribosomal RNA", at positions 29 to 414 of the family's 1533-position model. The record is from RNAcentral.
AUUGAACGCUGGCGGAAUGCUUUACACAUGCAAGUCGAGCGGCAGCGCGGGGCAACCUGGCGGCGAGCGGCGAACGGGUGAGUAAUACAUCGGAACGUGCCCAGACGUGGGGGAUAACUACUCGAAAGAGUGGCUAAUACCGCAUACGAUCUAAGGAUGAAAGCGGGGGAUCGCAAGACCUCGCGCGUCUGGAGCGGCUGAUGGCAGAUUAGGUAGUUGGUGGGGUAAAGGCUUACCAAGCCUGCGAUCUGUAGCUGGUCUGAGAGGAUGAUCAGCCACACUGGGACUGAGACACGGCCCAGACUCCUACGGGAGGCAGCAGUGGGGAAUUUUGGACAAUGGGGGAAACCCUGAUCCAGCAAUGCCGCGUGUGUGACGAAGG